This 761-nucleotide ribosomal RNA is filed under the name uncultured bacterium. RNAcentral describes it as "bacterial SSU rRNA". It matches the Rfam family "Bacterial small subunit ribosomal RNA", at positions 28 to 776 of the family's 1533-position model. The record is from RNAcentral.
AUUGAACGCUGGCGGCAGGCUUAACACAUGCAAGUCGAACGGUAACAGGAAGAAAGCUUGCUUUCUUUGCUGACGAGUGGCGGACGGGUGAGUAAUGCUUGGGAAUCUGCCUUAUGGAGGGGGAUAACUACGGGAAACUGUAGCUAAUACCGCGUAAUAUCUUCGGAUUAAAGUAUGGGACUUUCGAGCCAUAUGCCAUAAGAUGAGCCCAAGUGAGAUUAGGUAGUUGGUGAGGUAAAGGCUCACCAAGCUGACGAUCUCUAGCUGGUUUGAGAGGAUGACCAGCCACACUGGAACUGAGACACGGUCCAGACUCCUACGGGAGGCAGCAGUGGGGAAUAUUGCACAAUGGGCGCAAGCCUGAUGCAGCCAUGCCGCGUGAAUGAAGAAGGCUUUCGGGUUGUAAAGUUCUUUCAGCGAUGAGGAAGGUGCUAUAUCUAAUAGGUGUAGCAAUUGACGUUAGUCGCAGAAGAAGCACCGGCUAACUCCGUGCCAGCAGCCGCGGUAAUACGGAGGGUGCGAGCGUUAAUCGGAAUAACUGGGCGUAAAGGGCACGCAGGCGGUUGUCUAAGUCAGAUGUGAAAGCCCCGAGCUUAACUUGGGAAUUGCAUUUGAGACUGGGCGACUAGAGUCCUCUAGGGAGGGGUAGAAUUCCACGUGUAGCGGUGAAAUGCGUAGAGAUGUGGAGGAAUACCGAAGGCGAAGGCAGCCCCUUGGAGAGAGACUGACGCUGAGGUGCGAAAGCGUGGGUAGCAAACAGG